This 298-nucleotide signal recognition particle RNA is filed under the name Cebus imitator (Panamanian white-faced capuchin). Its description in RNAcentral is "Metazoan signal recognition particle RNA (ENSCCAG00000007630.1)". It matches the Rfam family "Metazoan signal recognition particle RNA". From Rfam's summary of the family: The signal recognition particle (SRP) is a universally conserved ribonucleoprotein. It is involved in the co-translational targeting of proteins to membranes. The record is from RNAcentral. Lineage: Eukaryota; Metazoa; Chordata; Mammalia; Primates; Cebidae.
ACUGGGUGCGGUGGCUGUGCCUGUAGUCCCAGCUACUCGGGAGGCUGAGGUGGGAAGAUUGCUUGAGCCCAGGAGUUCUGGGCUGUAGUGCACUAUGCCGAUCGGGUGUCCGCACUAAGUUAGGCAUCAAUAUGGUGACCUCUCCGAAGCGGGGGACCACCAGGUUGCCUAAGGAGAGGUGAACCAGCCCAGGUCAGAAAUGGAGCAGGUCAAAACCACCAGGCUGAUCAGUAGUGGGAUCAUGCCUAUGAAUAGCCACUGCACUCCAGCAUGGGCAACAUAGCAAGACCCCAUCUCU